AUCACUUCUCGGCCUUUUGGUUAAGAUCAAGUGUAGUACCUGUUCUUAUCAGUUUAAUAUCUGAUACAUCCUCUCUCCAAGGACAUUAUAUUAAAUGUAUUUUUGGAAUAGGGAGAUGGAAUAGGAACUUACUCUGUCCACGCAUCGACCAGGUAUUGCAGUACCUCUGGGAAUGGUGCACCAGAA
This is a small nuclear RNA of Myotis daubentonii (Daubenton's bat), 186 nucleotides long. RefSeq annotates it as U2 spliceosomal RNA. The record is from RefSeq and is a predicted model, not a curated record. NCBI's taxonomy places the organism in Eukaryota, Metazoa, Chordata, Mammalia, Chiroptera, Vespertilionidae.